RNAcentral lists this ribosomal RNA (254 nucleotides) under uncultured bacterium. RNAcentral's name for it is "partial 16S ribosomal RNA". It matches the Rfam family "Bacterial small subunit ribosomal RNA", at positions 524 to 776 of the family's 1533-position model. The record is from RNAcentral.
UACAGAGGGUGCGAGCGUUAAUCGGAUUUAUUGGGCGUAAAGAGCUCGUAGGCGGUUCGAUAAGUCGGACGUGAAAUCUCCACGCUCAACGUGGAGGGGCCGUUCGAUACUGUCGUGACUCGAGUCCGGUAGGGGAGUGUGGAAUUCCCGGUGUAGCGGUGAAAUGCGCAGAGAUCGGGAGGAACACCCGUAGCGAAGGCGGCACUCUGGGCCGGUACUGACGCUGAGGAGCGAAAGCGUGGGGAGCAAACAGG